GGGCAUAUAGCUCAGUUGGUUAGAGCGCAGUCCUGAUAAGACUGAGGUCUCUCGUUCAAAUCGAGAUAUGCCCACCA
RNAcentral lists this transfer RNA (77 nucleotides) under Candidatus Kerfeldbacteria bacterium. RNAcentral's name for it is "tRNA-Ile". Lineage: Bacteria; Candidatus Kerfeldiibacteriota. The record is from RNAcentral.